RNAcentral lists this ribosomal RNA (465 nucleotides) under uncultured bacterium. RNAcentral describes it as "partial 16S ribosomal RNA". It matches the Rfam family "Bacterial small subunit ribosomal RNA", at positions 28 to 507 of the family's 1533-position model. The record is from RNAcentral.
GACGAACGCUGGCGGCGUGCUUAACACAUGCAAGUCGUACGGUAAGGCCCUUUCUGGGGUACACGAGUGGCGCACGGGUGAGUAACACGUCAGUAACCUGCCCACAACUUUGGGAUAACGCUAGGAAACUGGUGCUAAUUCUGGCUAUGUUCUCCUGCUGCAUGGUGGGGGUUGUACAGAUCCGGCGGUUGUGGAUGGACUCGCGGCCUAUCAGCUUGUUGGUGGGGUAGUGGCUUACCAAGGCGGCGACGGGUAGCCGGCCUGAGAGGGUGACCGGCCACAUUGGGACUGAGAGAAGGCCCAGACGCCUACGGGAGGAAGCAGUGGGGAAUAUUGCACAAGGGGCGCAAGCCUGAUGCAGCAGCGCCGCGGGCGGGAUGACGGCCUUCGGGUUGUAAACCGCUUUCAGCAGGGACGAAGCUUUUUGUGACGGUACCUGCAGAAGAAGCACCGGCUAACUACGUG